This 483-nucleotide ribosomal RNA is filed under the name uncultured bacterium. Its description in RNAcentral is "bacterial SSU rRNA". It matches the Rfam family "Bacterial small subunit ribosomal RNA", at positions 28 to 526 of the family's 1533-position model. The record is from RNAcentral.
GAUCAACGCUGGCGGCGUGCCUAAUGCAUGCAAGUCGGGCGGGGUGCGCUUCGGUGCACUCACGCGGCGGACGGGUGCGUAACACGUGGGCAACCUACCCUGGGGCGGGGGAUAGCCACCGGAAACGGUGGGUAAUUCCGCGUACGCUCAUCCUCCGGUGGGGAGGAUGAGGAAAGGCGAGCAAUCGCCACCCUUGGCGGGGCCUGCGGCCGAUUAGCUAGUUGGGGGGGUCACGGCUUCCCAAGGCGAUGAUCGGUAGCUGGUCUGAGAGGACGGCCAGCCACACGGGGACUGAGAGACGGCCCCGACUCCUACGGGAGGCAGCAGCAAGGAAUCUUCCGCAAUGGGCGCAGAGCCUGACGGAGCAACGCCGCGUGGGGGAUGAGGCCCUUCGGGGUGUAAACCCCUUUCUGUGGGAAGAAGUUCUGACGGUACCACAGGAAGAAGGACCGGCUAACUACGUGCCAGCAGCCGCAGUAAAAC